This 429-nucleotide ribosomal RNA is filed under the name Acidobacteriota bacterium. RNAcentral's name for it is "Acidobacteria bacterium partial 16S ribosomal RNA". It matches the Rfam family "Bacterial small subunit ribosomal RNA", at positions 355 to 776 of the family's 1533-position model. The record is from RNAcentral. Lineage: Bacteria; Pseudomonadati; Acidobacteriota.
UGGGGAAUUUUGGACAAUGGGGGAAACCCUGAUCCAACCAUCCCGCGUGUGCGAUGAAGGCCUUCGGGUUGUAAAGCACUUUUGGCAGGAAAGAAACGUCAUGGGUUAAUACCCCGUGAAACUGACGGUACCUGCAGAAUAAGCACCGGCUAACUACGUGCCAGCAGCCGCGGUAAUACGUAGGGUGCAAGCGUUAAUCGGAAUUACUGGGCGUAAAGCGUGCGCAGGCGGUUCGGAAAGAAAGAUGUGAAAUCCCAGAGCUCAACUUUGGAACUGCAUUUUUAACUACCGGACUAGAGUGUGUCAGAGGGAGGUGGAAUUCCGCGUGUAGCAGUGAAAUGCGUAGAUAUGCGGAGGAACACCGAUGGCGAAGGCAGCCUCCUGGGAUAACACUGACGCUCAUGCACGAAAGCGUGGGGAGCAAACAGG